UGCAAAUGAUGUAUUUUUCUCACGAUGGUCUUCUGAGCCACUGAGGCUCUGAGGAUAACGCCUUAUGGCUUUGCUGAUGCAGCUUU
Small nucleolar RNA from Trichomycterus rosablanca, 86 nucleotides. RefSeq annotates it as small nucleolar RNA SNORD35. The transcript has a single exon. The record is from RefSeq and is a predicted model, not a curated record. NCBI's taxonomy places the organism in Eukaryota, Metazoa, Chordata, Actinopteri, Siluriformes, Trichomycteridae.